Non-coding RNA from Centropristis striata (black sea bass), 1392 nucleotides. NCBI's taxonomy places the organism in Eukaryota, Metazoa, Chordata, Actinopteri, Perciformes, Serranidae. The record is from the annotation of a RefSeq genome assembly.
UUUGUAUCACUGUGGUACACGUUCGGUGGAGGAACAAGACUGGAUUUUGGAAGUAAGUCAAAUAUCUUACAUUUUUAAUAAUUCUGUCUUUCUGUUUUUUUAUGUAGUCCACAGUCCAGGAAAAAGAAAGAUGCUUUAUCAUUUUCAUUGAUGAGUUUUUGACAAAGAUUUUGCAGUCAGAGACAAAGUUGACUUCAGCAACAUAACUUCAAAAAAACUAAUUUUAAUGAAACAUUUUUUUUUAAAUAACAGGAUGAAUGAUUAUUUCCAUCUUCAGUGGUAAAGUUGCAUCUUUAGGGCUUGUAGGUUUAGUUCAGUCAGACAAAGUCAGAGAGCCGCGUCUCUCUACAGUGAGAGGUUUUUGUACGGCGGCUCAAUGAGUUUGUAUCACUGUGGUUGACUUUUGGUGGAGGAACCAGACUGGAUGUUGGAAGUGAUGCCCGUCCCACCCUGAUGGUGCUGCCCCCCUCCACUGAGCAGCUGCAGCAGGGGACGGCCACGCUCAUGUGCCUGGCCAACAAGGGCUUCCCCUCAGACUGGAGUCUGGCCUGGAAGGUGGACGGCAGCAGCACCAGCAGCAGCAGCAGCAUCAGCUGGGAGCAGAGCAGCAGCCCCGGGGUGCUGGAGAAGGACGGCCACUACAGCUGGAGCAGCACCCUGAGGCUCUCUGCAGACCAGUGGAGGAAGGUGGGCUCUGUGACCUGUGAGGCCACCCAGGGCUCCCAGACUCCGCUCUCAGAGACUCUGAGGAGAGACCAGUGUUCCCAGUCCUGAUCUGACUCACUGGUUUUACUCUGCUACUGCUCUCAGUCUGCACUCUUUCUCUGUUUCUCUCAUGAUGUUUCAACAUUAACUUGUUCUUGCUUGUGUUGAUACUUUUAACAUUUUUUAAACAAUAAAGAAUUACAUCGUAGAUUAUAAAAGUGACGGGUCUCUUGAAUUAAUUCUUUUACAUGUGUUAUAUAGUAGGAGCAUGAAUCAGAUUAAAGUGCCAAACUGACAAAACUAUUAAAAAUGUAUCUGGAAAAAAUGUACUUACGAUUAAGACUGUAGACAUGGUGCAGCUUUUUCAAUGAAUAUAAAUCACAAAGCUAUCAAAUUUAAUUCAUUUAUGCUCUUGAAGAUCCAUUUGUUAAAUUAAUAUGUCAUUAAAUAAUCAUUUUUACCCAAAAUCAUCCAUCAUUAAUUUCUAAUUCUAUGUUCCCAAUAUAAAUGGUGUCCUGUUAAGAGGUAUCCAUACACAUAUUUUAGGGACAUCCUAAAAUCCCUACAUAUUGGUGCCCCGUGAGGCAUUGUAUCGUCGGCAAUUGUUCUGCUCUUUGUAACUCUCUCUUUGUUCUUGCUUGUGUUGAUGCUUUUAACAUUUUUAAGCAAUAAAGAUUUUAUUAUGUA